RNAcentral lists this long non-coding RNA (394 nucleotides) under Mus spicilegus (steppe mouse). Its description in RNAcentral is "lncRNA (ENSMSIG00000010417.1)". The record is from RNAcentral. Lineage: Eukaryota; Metazoa; Chordata; Mammalia; Rodentia; Muridae.
GUACUAGCAGAGAACAGGGAAAUGUCCACCAUGUCUCAUGUCAUAACAACCAUUAUAAUCCUCGUACUUUCCUAUACAGAGUACAUCCUGGAAGGGCACCAUUCAAGCAUAUAGAGGUGUGUCCUGAACAGAGAAUUCCUCAUGGGUUUGGCCAACUUCAUGUGACAGAGGGAGUGAGAAUAAAUGUGAGAGUUCUCUGAUGUCAUAUGCCUUCAAUUAACACUAAAAGGAUUAUCAAUGAAAACAACACAGGUGAUUACUGAAAUCACAUGACAAUCUGCAAUUUUCAGAAGCAUCUCUAGAUGAUGUGCAGUAAGUAAGCAUUAGUUCUUACUAUAGUUGGAAUUAAAGCAUGACCAAAAGUUGUAAAUUACUGAUACAAUAUUUCCCAGCA